AUAACAACUCUCGGCAACGGAUAUCUCGGCUCUUGCAUCGAUGAAGAACGUAGCGAAAUGCGAUACUUGGUGUGAAUUGCAGAAUCCCGUGAACCAUCGAGUCUUUGAACGCAAGUUGCGCCCGAAGCCAUCAGGCAUAGGGCACGUCUGC
Molecule: ribosomal RNA, 151 nt
Filed under: Billolivia longipetiolata
Lineage: Eukaryota; Viridiplantae; Streptophyta; Magnoliopsida; Lamiales; Gesneriaceae
Description: partial 5.8S ribosomal RNA
Rfam family: 5.8S ribosomal RNA
About the family: 5.8S ribosomal RNA (5.8S rRNA) is a component of the large subunit of the eukaryotic ribosome. It is transcribed by RNA polymerase I as part of the 45S precursor that also contains 18S and 28S rRNA. Functionally, it is thought that 5.8S rRNA may be involved in ribosome translocation.
Source: RNAcentral